RNAcentral lists this ribosomal RNA (438 nucleotides) under uncultured bacterium. RNAcentral describes it as "bacterial SSU rRNA". It matches the Rfam family "Bacterial small subunit ribosomal RNA", at positions 954 to 1392 of the family's 1533-position model. The record is from RNAcentral.
GCUUAACGCGAAGAACCUUACCACCUUUUGACAUGCCCGGCUCGCCAGAGAGAUCUGGUUUCCCUUCGGGGACUGGGACACAGGUGCUGCAUGGCUGUCGUCAGCUCGUGUCGUGAGAUGUUGGGUUAAGUCCCGCAACGAGCGCAACCCACGCCAUUAGUUGCCAUCAUUUAGUUGGGCACUCUAAUGGGACCGCCGGUGGUAAGCCGGAGGAAGGUGGGGAUGACGUCAAGUCCUCAUGGCCCUUACGGGCUGGGCUACACACGUGCUACAAUGGUGGCGACAGAGGGCACAAGCGAACGUGUAAACGUAAGCAAAUCCCAAAAAGCCAUCUCAGUUCAGAUUGCACUCUGCAACUCGGGUGCAUGAAGGUGGAAUCGCUAGUAAUCGCAGAACAGCAGGCUGCGGUGAAUACGUUCCCGGGUCUUGUACACACCG